AUAAUGGGUCAGCGACUUAUAUUCUGUAGCAAGGUUAACCGAAUAGGGGAGCCGAAGGGAAACCGAGUCUUAACUGGGCGUUAAGUUGCAGGGUAUAGACCCGAAACCCGGUGAUCUAGCCAUGGGCAGGUUGAAGGUUGGGUAACACUAACUGGAGGACCGAACCGACUAAUGUUGAAAAAUUAGCGGAUGACUUGUGGCUGGGGGUGAAAGGCCAAUCAAACCGGGAGAUAGCUGGUUCUCCCCGAAAGCUAUUUAGGUAGCGCCUCGUGAAUUCAUCUCCGGGGGUAGAGCACUGUUUCGGCAAGGGGGUCAUCCCGACUUACCAACCCGAUGCAAACUGCGAAUACCGGAGAAUGUUAUCACGGGAGACACACGGCGGGUGCUAACGUCCGUCGUGAAGAGGGAAACAACCCAGACCGCCAGCUAAGGUCCCAAAGUCAUGGUUAAGUGGGAAACGAUGUGGGAAGGCCCAGACAGCCAGGAUGUUGGCUUAGAAGCAGCCAUCAUUUAAAGAAAGCGUAAUAGCUCACUGGUCGAGUCGGCCUGCGCGGAAGAUGUAACGGGGCUAAACCAUGCACCGAAGCUGCGGCAGCGACGCUUAUGCGUUGUUGGGUAGGGGAGCGUUCUGUAAGCCUGUGAAGGUGUACUGUGAGGUAUGCUGGAGGUAUCAGAAGUGCGAAUGCUGACAUAAGUAACGAUAAAGCGGGUGAAAAGCCCGCUCGCCGGAAGACCAAGGGUUCCUGUC
This 748-nucleotide ribosomal RNA is filed under the name Escherichia coli. Its description in RNAcentral is "partial 23S ribosomal RNA". It matches the Rfam family "Bacterial large subunit ribosomal RNA", at positions 612 to 1359 of the family's 2925-position model. Lineage: Bacteria; Pseudomonadati; Pseudomonadota; Gammaproteobacteria; Enterobacterales; Enterobacteriaceae. The record is from RNAcentral.